Molecule: ribosomal RNA, 241 nt
Filed under: uncultured bacterium
Lineage: Bacteria
Description: partial small subunit ribosomal RNA
Rfam family: Bacterial small subunit ribosomal RNA
Source: RNAcentral
AGAAUCAACGCUGGCGGCGUGCCUAACACAUGCAAGUCGAACGAGAAAGUGGAGCAAUCCAUGAGUAAAGUGGCGCACGGGUGAGUAACACGUGACUAACCUACCCUUGAGUGGGGGAUAACCUAGAGAAAUCUGGGCUAAUACCGCAUAAUACCUUCGGGUCAAAGGAGCAAUUCGCUUAAGGAGGGGGUCGCGGCCGAUUAGUUAGUUGGCGGGGUAAUGGCCCACCAAGACUGUGAUC